RNAcentral lists this transfer RNA (73 nucleotides) under Candidatus Nealsoniibacteriota bacterium. RNAcentral's name for it is "Candidatus Nealsonbacteria bacterium tRNA-Thr". It matches the Rfam family "tRNA". Rfam says of the family: Transfer RNA (tRNA) molecules are approximately 80 nucleotides in length. The record is from RNAcentral. Lineage: Bacteria; Candidatus Nealsoniibacteriota.
GCCGAGAUAGCUCAGUUGGUAGAGCAUUCCCAUGGUAAGGGAAAGGGCACGAGUUCAAGUCUCGUUCUCGGCU